Molecule: non-coding RNA, 107 nt
Filed under: Ruminobacter amylophilus
Lineage: Bacteria; Pseudomonadati; Pseudomonadota; Gammaproteobacteria; Aeromonadales; Succinivibrionaceae
Description: Ribosomal S15 leader
Rfam family: Ribosomal S15 leader
About the family: The E. coli Ribosomal S15 gene 5' UTR can form two alternative structures. One that is a series of three hairpins, The other includes a pseudoknot. This structure causes translational regulation of the S15 protein.
Source: RNAcentral
AGGCUGAGUUAGUGAUCGGCUUUGGGCGAAUUUGAAAAUCUAUCGGAGAUUAUAUAAUGUCACUAAGUACUGAAGCUAAGAAGCAGAUUGUUGCUGAAUAUGCACGU